CCUGGUGGCUAUGGCGAGGUGUCUGAACCCGAUCCCAUCCCGAACUCGGUCGUUAAACGCCUCAGCGCCCAUGGUACUUCGUCUUAAGACGCGGAAGAGUAGGUCGCCGCCAGGC
RNAcentral lists this ribosomal RNA (115 nucleotides) under Hyphomicrobiales bacterium. The record is from RNAcentral. Lineage: Bacteria; Pseudomonadati; Pseudomonadota; Alphaproteobacteria; Hyphomicrobiales.